Molecule: unclassified non-coding RNA, 215 nt
Filed under: uncultured Mycena
Lineage: Eukaryota; Fungi; Basidiomycota; Agaricomycetes; Agaricales; Tricholomataceae
Description: sequence contains ITS2
Source: RNAcentral
AAUUCUCAACCUUAAACCAGUUUUGCGACUGGGUCAAGGCUUGGAUGUGAGGGCUUUGCUGGCUUCCUUUAGUGGAUGGUCUGCUCCCUUUAAAUGCAUUAGUGGGAUCCUUUGUGGACGGUCACUUGGUGUGAUAAUUAUCUACGCCUUGUUGACUGUGAAGCAAAACUUAUGGGACCCUGCUUAUAACCGUCCUUCGGGACAAUUUAUUGACC